AAACCCUCAUUCUCUUCUCUCCCUCUCUCAGCACCUUAACUUUAGCCGCCCUUUAACCCCCGUCGUCUCUGCCUGGUCCGCCAACCGGAAAUCGCCUCACGGCGGUGGACCACCUCCAAACUCCACCAAAGUAACACCCUAUAACCAUCUUUCCCUCCCCUUUCCAAAUCCCCAAUCAUUUCCCUCAAAUCAUUCUCAAAUCGCUCGAAUCUUGGAUCUGAAACCCUAAUUUUUCCCUUUUUGAUUUCCGGCAAUUUCUGGUUUGUUUGAAACCAAGACUUCCAUUAGUCGAUUGUUCUUGUUGAGAACAGUCGAUUAAUGGUCAUCCAAGUUCAUUUUACCCCGAUGAAGCAUGUCCAAGUUCUUGACUGGUCCAAAUUUGAGGCGAGUUUUGUUAGCCAAAUCAGCAGGUUCAAAAGAUAAGAGCUGAAAUUAUGUUGUUGAUAUCAUGCUGAAACUGGUGGUUUCAUGUGUUGGACCAAGCUUUGAUGGAUAAAUCAUGUCCACAAGAGGCAGGUGUUCAUUAGGCUAUCAAUUACCUAGAAGUUCUAAUAGAAUAGUUUGAUAUGUUCUCUUUAAAGAUUAAAUUCUGGUAUAGUAGAUCAGUUUUUAUUUUAGCUUCAAAGUUCAAAAGGUACCCCACAUCAAUUAUGUUCUGUAAUGAGUGAUUUCACAAUAGUAGAAACUUCAUGAAUA
Nicotiana tabacum (common tobacco) is the source of this 696-nucleotide non-coding RNA. The record is from RefSeq and is a predicted model, not a curated record. Lineage: Eukaryota; Viridiplantae; Streptophyta; Magnoliopsida; Solanales; Solanaceae.